This 2091-nucleotide small RNA is filed under the name Oryza sativa Japonica Group (Japanese rice). RNAcentral describes it as "sRNA Os01g0113750". The record is from RNAcentral. Lineage: Eukaryota; Viridiplantae; Streptophyta; Magnoliopsida; Poales; Poaceae.
ACUCAUCCUCCUCUGAGAUUUCAGUUAGUUCAGAGGAGAAACGGCAAGAAUCCACUAGCAGUGGCAGGGGUUCAUCAUCGCAGAAGAAUGGCCUUGAAGGCAGCUGCAGACCACCAACAUCACCUUCAAGCAUUUCUAUGACCUCACUCAUCGUUGGACGAUCAUGAGACUUCAUUUGAAUGCAAUGUAGACCAACAACACACAACUUCUUUUCCAGCUCAUGCAUAUUGAAGGCAUUGGCAAUCUCACCCAUCUUUUGUUGAACCAGCUGAUUAUACACCCAAGAUGGAUAAUAUGACUGGCUUGAGCUCGACAUGUUCUGCUUAGAAUUCCUUCGCCCUCCAGCCAUCUCCAACAGAAGCAUUCCAAAGCUAUAAACAUCAGAUUUGCUAGAUAUGAUACCAAAGCUCCGAGAUAUCAUCUCAGGAGCAAUAUAACCUACUGUUCCUCGUGCAGCGCUAACUGGCAUAAAACUGUUAUCCCGUGGGUACAGUUUGGCAAGGCCAAAAUCGGCAACUUUUGGGACAAAAUUGCUAUCAAGAAGGAUGUUGUGCGGCUUGAUAUCAAAAUGUAGAAUCUGCAUAUCACACCCCUGAUGUAAGUAGUUUAUUCCUCUAGCAAUGCCCAAUGCGAUCUCAUUGAGCUUGUCCCAAGAGAGACUCUUGUCAGGAGAGAAGAUGAACCUGUCAAGAGAUCCAUGGGGCAUGUACUCAUACACAAGUGCACUCCUCAUUUCCUCUGCACAAUACCCCACUAGACGUACUACAUUGACAUGAUGGAUACUGCCAAUGGUGGAUACCUCGCUGAUGAAUUCUUCUCCAUUACAAUUGUAGUUGGAUAGCAUUUUGAUGGCAACAUGGACAUCACCAGGCAGUAUCACUCCCUUGAACACGGAGCCAUAGCCACCCUGGCCCAACUUGUCUCUAAAAUGGCUUGUCAUUGCAAUGAUGUCUGUGUAGGCGUACCUUGUUGGACCAAGCAUCAGCUGCAUUUGUAAAAACUUCUCAACUGCGUCGAUUUUUAUUCUAGUUUUCCAAUACUUGAAGGCAAGGAAGGUCAAUAGUGUCAACGGAGCUAUCACGAACCUGCAUAAAACUGCAUAAAAAAACAACUUUACAUAAACAGUGAUAACUUUUAGUAAAUGUGUCUUUAGACAUUGGAACGGUGCAGUGGUGAUUAUGUACUGUAUAAUUAAGAAGACAGAAUCAUAGAAGUACCAGCAAUCCACUUGAAAACAAACAAAGCAAAUUGUACAAUGAAUCCGCCAUAAAAUUCUAUUUUUCCACGAAGCAUCCCCAUCAUGUAUUACAAAUAUGUACUCAAAUUUAUGUAUGAAUGUAAUGGAACAACACCUGAAACUCACCGAAUCGACCCCAUCAGACAAUCCUUGAUGUGCCCAAUCCUACUCCACCUAUGUAUUAUGGGAAAAUGAACAGCAAAUCCAUUCCUCAUGGAUCUGACGAUGUCUGAAAAGCUUGCAUUAUGUGGCAAUGGCGAGUCCCAACCACCCAAGGGAAUCAUGGCAAGGUAGCGACAUGAAGUCUCAAGGUUUCCGAUGAUUGGAAAAACAGAUGGAGGCAUUAUCCAGGAACCAAACACAUAAACAAACGAAGAGCUUGUGCUCAGGCAAUCAACAGGAACGUACACACUAUUAUUCCUUACUGCCUGUGAACAAUUCACAAAGCUAACCCAUGUAGCUCCAGGUCCAGGGUCAAGGGCCAGGUCCCAGCCGCCAUGUGAUCCCUGGAUACCCCCCGAAACGAAAGGAAGCUGAUCCGAGCGAGGAAGAGGGCAGCUGCUGUUUGUAUCUUUUAGGCUGGCAUCCACAACCCAGAAGACAGAAGUAGUGUAGUUGAUGCUGGUUACAUAGUAUGUCCCUGUGUUGAUCCUAAUGGUAGCCUUGCUAUCUCUGCAGUCUAACUCAUAUGACGGAACACCGCAUCUUUGUGGAUCACCUCGCCGGCGGAAAGGAUGAGAAAUGUUCUGGAGAUGUCCACAGGAGAAAGGAUAGCACCCUUGCCGCCCCUCGACAUCUCCUGCAAGAAGAGCAAGAACAGCAAAGAUGAAAACAAAGGCUUGCAUUGUGGUAGA